GAUGAACGCUAGCGGCAGGCCUAAUACAUGCAAGUCGGACGGUAAAUGGCCCUUCGGGGCUAUGAGAGUGGCGCACGGGUGCGUAACGCGUAUGCAACCUACCCAAUGCUGGCGGAUAGCCCGGAGAAAUUCGGAUUAAGCCGUCGUGAGGAGCGGAGAGGGCAUCCUCCGAGGUUGAAAACUCCGGUGGUUUGAGAUGGGCAUGCGUUGUAUUAGCUAGUUGGUGAGGUAACGGCUCACCAAGGCGACGAUACAUAGGGGGACUGAGAGGUUAACCCCCCACACUGGUACUGAGACACGGACCAGACUCCUACGGGAGGCAGCAGUGAGGAAUAUUGGUCAAUGGACGCAAGUCUGAACCAGCCAUGCCGCGUGCAGGAAGACGGCUCUAUGAGUUGUAAAACUGCUUUUGAUAAGGGUAAACCUCGGGACUGUCCCGAGCUGCAAGUAUUAUACGAAUAAGGAUCGGCUAACUCCGUGCCAGCAGCCG
This 490-nucleotide ribosomal RNA is filed under the name uncultured bacterium. RNAcentral's name for it is "bacterial SSU rRNA". It matches the Rfam family "Bacterial small subunit ribosomal RNA", at positions 28 to 517 of the family's 1533-position model. The record is from RNAcentral.